AGGAGUGAACUUCUAUUUGUUGAUGCUAUAUGUUCAAGAUAUUUCAUGGCCCAUGGACAGAGUGACUGUAUUUAAAGGCAACAGGAAUGUGCGAAGCAGUGUCCUUUCGAAUUGCUGAUUUGCCAUACGAUAGCGCUCAUCAUUUGUACCGGACGAAAGCACUGGUUCAUAUGCAGCUUUUGGACAGAGAGCACAUAGGAUUCAGCCUAGGCGGUAUGUUGAACGUCAACCCAGAGUUUGUCAUCGGUUUACUCGGAGCAUUUGUCACGUAUACCCUAUUGAUAUGGGAUGAUGGCAGAGGAAAUUGUGAAUGCCAUCGUCCGAUAAAUUCCAGCAUAUGGGUGAAUUUAACCAGUUAGCAUCAUAUUAAUUUUCUGUUCCUGACAUCGACGACCCGUAUGGCGAAUUGCUCCCGUGCUGGGACAGGAAACUACAUGACUGGCGCUUCGACACGAUAUUCUAGUUCGCAUGGCCGCGAAAGCGUAGCUUGGUACACCGUAGAAAAUGCAUGCCCAGCAAGUAUCUUGAAGUCUGCGUUGAGGAACAAAUGAACCUUGCGCAAAGCGGCAUGGUGCGGGAAAUGGAGGAGCUGGACUGAUGUUCACUAGAUUUCAUUUAUUUAGCCAUGGCUCUAAACUUUUCUUUGAGGUACUGGCUGUAGCGCAGUCUGUGAAGACAUUUGCUAAUUUUAUCUUCUAACGAAGCGCCUCCUAAGUAAUCUAGGAUUUUAUUUUACUCAUACUGCUUCCAAUA
This is a long non-coding RNA of Paramacrobiotus metropolitanus, 753 nucleotides long. RefSeq lists it as uncharacterized. The record is from RefSeq and is a predicted model, not a curated record. Lineage: Eukaryota; Metazoa; Tardigrada; Eutardigrada; Parachela; Macrobiotidae. The transcript is spliced from 3 exons.